RNAcentral lists this ribosomal RNA (254 nucleotides) under uncultured bacterium. RNAcentral's name for it is "partial 16S ribosomal RNA". It matches the Rfam family "Bacterial small subunit ribosomal RNA", at positions 524 to 776 of the family's 1533-position model. The record is from RNAcentral.
UACGGGGGGGGCAAGCGUUGUUCGGAAUUACUGGGCGUAAAGGGUUCGUAGGUGGCCUACUAAGUCAGACGUGAAAUCCCUCAGCUUAACUGGGGAACUGCGUCUGAUACUGGAAGGCUUGAGGACAGGAGAGGAACGCGGAAUUCCAGGUGUAGCGGUGAAAUGCGUAGAUAUCUGGAGGAACACCGGUGGCGAAGGCGGCAUCCUGGACCGGCACUGACGCUGAGGGAGCGAAAGCCAGGGGAGCAAACGGG